Molecule: ribosomal RNA, 117 nt
Filed under: uncultured Hebeloma
Lineage: Eukaryota; Fungi; Basidiomycota; Agaricomycetes; Agaricales; Cortinariaceae
Description: 5.8S ribosomal RNA
Rfam family: 5.8S ribosomal RNA
About the family: 5.8S ribosomal RNA (5.8S rRNA) is a component of the large subunit of the eukaryotic ribosome. It is transcribed by RNA polymerase I as part of the 45S precursor that also contains 18S and 28S rRNA. Functionally, it is thought that 5.8S rRNA may be involved in ribosome translocation.
Source: RNAcentral
UACAAMUUUCAGCAACGGAUCUCUUGGCUCUCGCAUCGAUGAAGAACGCAGCGAAAUGCGAUAAGUAAUGUGAAUUGCAGAAUUCAGUGAAUCAUCGAAUCUUUGAACGCACCUUGC